Small nucleolar RNA from Vulpes vulpes (red fox), 70 nucleotides. Its record names the gene SNORD73. It matches the Rfam family "Small nucleolar RNA SNORD73". Rfam says of the family: U73 is a member of the C/D class of snoRNA which contain the C (UGAUGA) and D (CUGA) box motifs. U73 is encoded within the introns of ribosomal protein S3a and contains a 12nt region of complementarity to a conserved sequence in 28S ribosomal RNA. U73 is therefore thought to function as a 2'-O-ribose methylation guide for pre-rRNA. Lineage: Eukaryota; Metazoa; Chordata; Mammalia; Carnivora; Canidae. The record is from Ensembl.
AAUAGAUGAUGACAAAAUGUUUCGGUCCCAGAUGACAACCACUGAUAAAACUUAACAUUUUUCUGAUGUU